This 1124-nucleotide ribosomal RNA is filed under the name uncultured bacterium. RNAcentral describes it as "bacterial SSU rRNA". It matches the Rfam family "Bacterial small subunit ribosomal RNA", at positions 245 to 1384 of the family's 1533-position model. The record is from RNAcentral.
UUAGUUGGUGGGGUAAUGGCCUACCAAGACGACGAUCAGUAGCCGGACUGAGAGGUUUGAACGGCCACAUUGGGACUGAGAUACGGCCCAGACUCCUACGGGAGGCAGCAGUCGGGAAUAUUGCGCAAUGGAGGAAACUCUGACGCAGUGACGCCGCGUGCAGGAAGAAGGUUUUCGGAUUGUAAACUGCUUUAGACAGGGAAGAGAAAGGACAGUACCUGUAGAAUAAGCUCCGGCUAACUACGUGCCAGCAGCCGCGGUAAUACGUAGGGAGCGAGCGUUAUCCGGAUUUAUUGGGUGUAAAGGGUGCGUAGACGGGAAUACAAGUUAGUUGUGAAAUACCUCGGCUUAACUGAGGAACUGCAACUAAAACUAUAUUUCUUGAGUGCAGGAGAGGUAAGUGGAAUUCCUAGUGUAGCGGUGAAAUGCGUAGAUAUUAGGAGGAACACCAGUGGCGAAGGCGACUUACUGGACUGAAACUGACGUUGAGGCACGAAAGUGUGGGGAGCAAACAGGAUUAGAUACCCUGGUAGUCCACACCGUAAACAAUGGAUACUUGGGUGUAGGGGAAUAUUAAGUUUUUUGUGCCGUCGCAAACGCAGUAAGUAUCCCACUUGGGGAGUACGGCCGCAAGGUUGAAACUCAAAGGAAUGAACGGGGGCCCGCACAAGCAGUGGAGUAUGUGGUUUAAUUCGAAGCAACGCGAAGAACCUUACCAGGGCUUGACAUAUAGAUGAAUAUAUAAGAGAUUAUAUAGCUUUUCGGAGCAUCUAUACAGGUGGUGCAUGGUUGUCGUCAGCUCGUGUCGUGAGAUGUUGGGUUAAGUCCCGCAACGAGCGCAACCCCUGUUUCUAGUUGCCAGCAUGUAAAGAUGGGAACUCUAGAAAGACUGCCGUAGAUAAUACGGAGGAAGGUGGGGAUGACGUCAAAUCAUCAUGCCCUUUAUGUCCUGGGCUACACACGUACUACAAUGGCUGUAACAGAGGGAAGCGAACCAGUGAUGGUAAGCGAAACCCGAAAAGCAGUCACAGUUCGGAUUGAAGGCUGAAACUCGCCUUCAUGAAGCCGGAAUUGCUAGUAAUGGCAGGUCAGCAUACUGCCGUGAAUACGUUCCCGGGCCUUGU